AGAUUAAGUUAUUAAGGGCGCACGGUGAAUGCCUUGGCACUAGAAGCCGAUGAAGGACGUUACUAACGACGAUAUGCUUUGGGGAGCUGUAAGUAAGCUGUGA
This 103-nucleotide ribosomal RNA is filed under the name Staphylococcus auricularis. Its description in RNAcentral is "partial 23S ribosomal RNA". It matches the Rfam family "Bacterial large subunit ribosomal RNA", at positions 1 to 102 of the family's 2925-position model. Lineage: Bacteria; Bacillati; Bacillota; Bacilli; Caryophanales; Staphylococcaceae. The record is from RNAcentral.